GUCUAUGGUCAUGCUACCCUGAACAAGCCCAAUCCCGUUUGACCUCGGAAGCUAAGCAGGGUCGGGCCUGGUUAGUACUUGGAUGGGAGACCACCUAGGAAGACCAGGUGCUGCAGGUG
Molecule: ribosomal RNA, 119 nt
Filed under: Pteropus alecto (black flying fox)
Lineage: Eukaryota; Metazoa; Chordata; Mammalia; Chiroptera; Pteropodidae
Source: RNAcentral